AGUGUAAUAGCAGCUUAUCAUUCAUGGGACACAUGUAGUAAAAACAUCAAGGAUCAAAGAAGAUUCGCUCUUGAAAAUGCACUUGAUUAUAAUGCAUUGAUUGAAAUUAAAAGUCUUUGUAACCAAUAUAGAGAGGUGUUACGCGCAUCUGGAUUACUAUGCCAUCAAAGAAAAGAUCAUGAUUCAAGUGAAUGGACUAAAUAUUCGACUAUGUUAUCAUU
Molecule: small RNA, 221 nt
Filed under: Chaetoceros neogracilis
Lineage: Eukaryota; Bacillariophyta; Thalassiosirophyceae; Chaetocerotales; Chaetocerotaceae
Description: partial transfer-messenger RNA
Source: RNAcentral